This 441-nucleotide ribosomal RNA is filed under the name uncultured bacterium. Its description in RNAcentral is "partial 16S ribosomal RNA". It matches the Rfam family "Bacterial small subunit ribosomal RNA", at positions 338 to 795 of the family's 1533-position model. The record is from RNAcentral.
CCUACGGGAGGCAGCAGUGGGGGAUAUUGCACAAUGGGGGGAACCCUGAUGCAGCGACGCCGCGUGGGUGAAGGAGCGUUUCGGCGCGUAAAGCCCUAUCGGCAGGGAAGAAGGAGGACGGUACCUGACUAAGAAGCCCCGGCUAACUACGGGCCAGCAGCCGCGGUAAUACGUAGGGGGCAAGCGUUAUCCGGAUGUACUGGGUGUAAGGGGGUCGCAGACGGCAGCGCAAGCCAGGAGUGAAAGCCCGGGGCCCAACCCCGGGACUGCUCUUGGAACUGCGCGGCUGGAGGGCAGGAGGGGGAGGCGGAAUUCCUGGUGUAGCGGUGAAAUGCGUAGAUAUCAGGAGGAACACCGGUGGCGAAGGCGGCCUGCUGGACUGCGACUGACGUUGAGGCCCGAAAGCGUGGGGAGCAAACAGGAUUAGAUACCCUUGUAGUC